AACGUAGGGGACAAGCGUUAUCCGGAUUUACUGGGCGUAAAGCGCCCGUAGGCGGCUUAACAAGUUGGAUGUGAAAGCUCCCGGCUUAACUGGGAGAGGUCAUUCAAAACUGUUAGGCUAGAGGAUGGAAGAGGAGAGCGGAAUUCCCGGUGUAGUGGUGGAAUGCGUAGAGAUCGGGAGGAACACCAGUGGCGAAAGCGGCUCUCUGGUUCACACCUGACGCUGAGGGGCGAAAGCGUGGGGAGCGAACGGG
Molecule: ribosomal RNA, 253 nt
Filed under: uncultured bacterium
Lineage: Bacteria
Also listed under: 1 other name
Description: partial 16S ribosomal RNA
Rfam family: Bacterial small subunit ribosomal RNA
Source: RNAcentral